AGUGAACGCUGGCGGUAGGCCUAACACAUGCAAGUCGAACGGCAGCACAGUAAGAGCUUGCUCUUACGGGUGGCGAGUGGCGGACGGGUGAGGAAUACAUCGGAAUCUACUUUUUCGUGGGGGAUAACGUAGGGAAACUUACGCUAAUACCGCAUACGACCUACGGGUGAAAGCAGGGGAUCUUCGGACCUUGCGCGAGUGAAUGAGCCGAUGUCGGAUUAGCUAGUUGGCGGGGUAAAGGCCCACCAAGGCGACGAUCCGUAGCUGGUCUGUGAGGAUGAUCAGCCACACUGGAACUGAGACACGGUCCAGACUCCUACGGGAGGCAGCAGUGGGGAAUAUUGGACAAUGGGCGCAAGCCUGAUCCAGCCAUACCGCGUGGGUGAAGAAGGCCUUCGGGUUGUAAAGCCCUUUUGUUGGGAAAGAAAAGCAGCAGGUUAAUACCCCGCUGUUCUGACGGUACCCAAAGAAUAAGCACCGGCUAACUUCGUG
This 492-nucleotide ribosomal RNA is filed under the name uncultured bacterium. RNAcentral describes it as "partial 16S ribosomal RNA". It matches the Rfam family "Bacterial small subunit ribosomal RNA", at positions 29 to 507 of the family's 1533-position model. The record is from RNAcentral.